RNAcentral lists this ribosomal RNA (253 nucleotides) under uncultured bacterium. Its description in RNAcentral is "partial 16S ribosomal RNA". It matches the Rfam family "Bacterial small subunit ribosomal RNA", at positions 524 to 776 of the family's 1533-position model. The record is from RNAcentral.
GACGAACCGAGCGACCGUUGUUCGGAAUCACUGGGCUUAAAGGGCGCGUAGGCGGGGGUUCAAGUCCGUGGUGAAAUCCUCCGGCUCAACCGGAGAACUGCCUCGGAUACUGAAUGUCUCGAGGGUGGUAGGGGUAUGCGGAACUAUCGGUGGAGCGGUGAAAUGCGUUGAUAUCGAUAGGAACUCCGGUGGCGAAGGCGGCAUACUGGACCACUUCUGACGCUGAGGCGCGAAAGCCAGGGGAGCAAACGGG